GAUGAACGCUGGCGGCGUGCCUAAUACAUGCAAGUCGAGCGAACGGACGAGAAGCUUGCUUCUCUGAUGUUAGCGGCGGACGGGUGAGUAACACGUGGAUAACCUACCUAUAAGACUGGGAUAACUUCGGGAAACCGUAGCUAAUACCGGAUAAUAUUUUGAACCGCAUGGUUCAAAAGUGAAAGACGGUCUUGCUGUCACUUAUAGAUGGAUCCGCGCUGCAUUAGCUAGUUGGUAAGGUAACGGCUUACCAAGGCAACGAUGCAUAGCCGACCUGAGAGGGGGAACCGGCCAACCGGAAACGGAGACAGGGCCCAGACCCCGAGGGGGGGCAGAAGGGGGGAAUCUCCCCAAAGGGGGAAAAGGCUGGCGGGAAAACCCGGGGGGAGGGAAGAAGGUUUUGGGCUCGAAAAACCUUUUUUUUAGGAAAAAACAUAGGGUAAAGUAACGGUGAACAUCUGGAGGGGACCAAAUAAAAAAGCCACGGCAAAUUAGUG
Molecule: ribosomal RNA, 497 nt
Filed under: uncultured bacterium
Lineage: Bacteria
Description: partial 16S ribosomal RNA
Rfam family: Bacterial small subunit ribosomal RNA
Source: RNAcentral